Molecule: ribosomal RNA, 493 nt
Filed under: uncultured bacterium
Lineage: Bacteria
Description: partial 16S ribosomal RNA
Rfam family: Bacterial small subunit ribosomal RNA
Source: RNAcentral
GACGAACGCUGGCGGCGUGCUUAACACAUGCAAGUCGAACGGUGAAGCGCCUUCCUUUUUGGUGGGUGUGGAUGAGUGGCGAACGGGUGAGUAACACGUGAGUAACCUGCCCCCUUCUUCUGGAUAACCGCAUGAAAGUGUGGCUAAUACGGGAUAUUCUGGGUCUGUCGCAUGAUGGGUCUGGGAAAGAUAUUGUUUCGGUGGGGGAUGGGCUCGCGGCCUAUCAGCUUGUUGGUGGGGUGAUGGCCUACCAAGGCGGUGACGGGUAGCCGGCCUGAGAGGGUGGACGGUCACACUGGGACUGAGACACGGCCCAGACUCCUACGGGAGGCAGCGGUGGGGAAUAUUGCACAAUGGGCGCAAGCCUGAUGCAGCGACGCCGCGUGAGGGAUGAGGCCUUCGGGUUGUGAACCUCUUUCGCCAGUGAAGCAGGCCUGCCUCGUUUGUGGGUGGGUUGACGGUAGCUGGAUAAGAAGCGCCGGCUAACUACGUG